This 173-nucleotide ribosomal RNA is filed under the name Escherichia coli. RNAcentral describes it as "partial 23S ribosomal RNA". It matches the Rfam family "Bacterial large subunit ribosomal RNA", at positions 1 to 165 of the family's 2925-position model. The record is from RNAcentral. Lineage: Bacteria; Pseudomonadati; Pseudomonadota; Gammaproteobacteria; Enterobacterales; Enterobacteriaceae.
GGGUUGUGAGGUUAAGCGACUAAGCGUACACGGUGGAUGCCCUGGCAGUCAGAGGCGAUGAAGGACGUGCUAAUCUGCGAUAAGCGUCGGUGAGGUGAUAUGAACCGUUAUAACCGGCGAUUUCCGAAUGGGGAAACCCAGUGUGUUUCGACACACUAUCAUUAACUGAAUCC